This 292-nucleotide ribosomal RNA is filed under the name uncultured bacterium. RNAcentral describes it as "partial 16S ribosomal RNA". It matches the Rfam family "Bacterial small subunit ribosomal RNA", at positions 505 to 796 of the family's 1533-position model. The record is from RNAcentral.
GUGUCAGCAGCCGCGGUAAUACGGAGGGUGCAAACGUUGCUCGGAAUCAUUGGGCGUAAAGCGCACGUAGGCGGUCGGCUAUGUCGGAUGUGAAAGCCUCGGGCUUAACCCGAGAAGGGCAUCCGAAACUGGCCGGCUUGAGUACGGAAGAGGGUCUCGGAAUUCCCGGUGUAGAGGUGAAAUUCGUAGAUAUCGGGAGGAACACCAGUGGCGAAGGCGGAGACCUGGGCCGAUACUGACGCUGAGGUGCGAAAGCGUGGGGAGCAAACAGGAUUAGAAACCCGCGUAGUCC